RNAcentral lists this non-coding RNA (30 nucleotides) under Mus musculus (house mouse). The record is from RNAcentral. Lineage: Eukaryota; Metazoa; Chordata; Mammalia; Rodentia; Muridae.
UGGACUGUGGCAUUUGCACUUGUUCUGAGG